This 1046-nucleotide long non-coding RNA is filed under the name Canis lupus familiaris (dog). RNAcentral describes it as "lncRNA (ENSCAFG00000054590.1, ENSCAFG00805013984.1, ENSCAFG00845020262.1)". Lineage: Eukaryota; Metazoa; Chordata; Mammalia; Carnivora; Canidae. The record is from RNAcentral.
CUCUCCUUUUCAUCUCUCUUCUCUGUUCCACCCACUCCCUACCCUGGCUUCUACCUUCCCUUUGGAGAUGAGGGUAUUGCCAUCAUUCUCUCUCUCCUUAUGAGCUCACAGUCUGUAUGUUGCAUGGGCCCCAGAGUUACUAUUAAUGCUGUCUUGGGUUAUGGAAGAAGAAGGGGGAGAGGGGUCAUAGGAGAGAGACCUGGGAGGUUCUUUAGGGAUCAUUGGCUGCAUUGCCAUGAACUCAAGGUUAUAUGGCAAGUUUAUUUUGCUCUUUACCAGUGACCACCUUUGGUGAUCAGGUCCUAUUUUUCAAACCAGAUCUUCUGUCCCAUAUGUCCCUUGAGUUUCUCCAAGGUUAUGAUGGGAGACAGUGAGCCAAUAGGUUUGUGUUGUGCUUCCAGCCUAUUAAAAAGAAAGCACAGAAUUUUGCAAAACCAUCAAACUGACAGCUUUGCAAUUUUUGGAGAACUAAGGCUUGGUUUUAGAAGAUACUUUAUAGCAAUCCCACCAGGAUGAAACCUGCUUGUUAUUUAGAGAGAGAUGCUGAGAAAACAUGAACUCCAGUUAGUGACGAUAGCACGUUCAUAGCACUUACUCUGUGCCACACACUGUGCAAAGCACUUGUAAAUUAAUUCAUUGAAUUUCCACAAUAACAAAGGGGGAAGCUGAAGCAAAGAGCAACACUCACCAUUGUAGAGUUAGGCUGCCAUCAGAGGUGGAUUCUUAACCAUGCAUUUAAACUGUCUCCCUAUGGUCUCUGUCAUACCACGAAGCUGAGCCCCUAGGCCUUUUCAGGACUUAGGAUCUCCCACCAGGCACCUAUACAGAGGGGUGUGAACUCUCAAGUCACAAAAAUGGUUGUUGAUAUGUGCAUGAAGCCCUCACUCUGUCCAAACCCAUCUGCAGAAUCAGAGGGAAGGUUAGUUAAUAGCCUGGGUGAAGUAAGGUAUGGUCACUUUGACCUUAUCCUGAAUAGUCAGCUUUCAGUUGGGCUAACUACUGAGGAAUCAACAAAUGAGCAUCUCCCCAGUAUGAAUGAUACCCUC